GAUUCGAUAGCUCAGCUGGUAGAGCAUCUCCCUUUUAAGGAGAGGGUCCUGGGUUCGAGCCCCAGUCGAAUCA
RNAcentral lists this transfer RNA (73 nucleotides) under Agaribacillus aureus. RNAcentral describes it as "tRNA-Lys". It matches the Rfam family "tRNA". Rfam says of the family: Transfer RNA (tRNA) molecules are approximately 80 nucleotides in length. Their secondary structure includes four short double-helical elements and three loops (D, anti-codon, and T loops). The record is from RNAcentral. RNAcentral also lists the same sequence under 1 other name. Lineage: Bacteria; Pseudomonadati; Bacteroidota; Cytophagia; Cytophagales; Splendidivirgaceae.